RNAcentral lists this ribosomal RNA (876 nucleotides) under Chaenothecopsis sp. RNAcentral describes it as "SSU rRNA". It matches the Rfam family "Bacterial small subunit ribosomal RNA", at positions 370 to 1294 of the family's 1533-position model. The record is from RNAcentral. Lineage: Eukaryota; Fungi; Ascomycota; Eurotiomycetes; Mycocaliciales; Mycocaliciaceae.
AAUAGCCUAACGGCUGAACCAGCAAUUUGGGGGAAUGUAUAGUAAUCUAAUUGUUAUUUAAUUUAUUAAAUUCAAGAUCGACUAUGUCGAAUAAAAUUCUAGAUAGAACAAUGAUAAUGACAAUUUUCUAUUUAUAUGUCUUGACUAAAUCACGUGCCAGCAGUCGCGGUAAUACGUGGAAGACUAGUGUUAUUCAUCUUUAUUAGGUUUAAAGGGUACCUAGACGGUAUGCUUAGCCGAAUAAAAAGGUACAAGUAUACUAGAGUUUUAUAUGAGAAGGAAAGAACUUUUGGAGUAGAGAUAAAAUUCUGUGAUAACAAAAGGACUGUUAAAGGCGAAGGCAACCUUUUAUGUAAAAACUGACGUUGAGGGACGAAGGCUUGGGUAGCGAUUAGGAUUAGAUACCCUAGUAGUCCAGGCAGAAAAUUAUGAAUGUCAUAGACUUGGUUUAUUCCAUUUCUAUAAAUGAAAGUGUAAGCAUUCCACCUCAAGAGUAAUGUGGCAACGCAGGAACUGAAAUCAUUAGACCGUUUCUGAAACCAGUAGUGAAGUAUGUUAUUUAAUUCGAUGAUCCGCGAAAAACCUUACCACAAUUUGAAUAUUAUACAAGCGUUGCACGGCUGUCUUCAGUUAAUGUCGUGAGAUUCUGGUUAGUUCCAUUAAUUAACGUAAACCCUCGCUUUAUUUAAUCAAGCUUAUAUUUAUAACUUUAUUAGCGUUAUAAAGCAGUUUUUCCUAAACCUUUGGGAAUAAUAAAAGGGACUAAGACAAGUCAUCAUGGCCUUAAUAUUGUGGGCUAUAGACGUGCCACAUAAGCCUAUACAAAGGGAUGCAAUAUUGUAAAAUGGAGCUAAUCCUCAAAAAAGGAUAUAAAAU